AGUUUGAUCCUGGCUCAGGAUGAACGCUAGCUACAGGCUUAACACAUGCAAGUCGAGGGGCAGCAUUUUAGUUUGCUUGCAAACUGAAGAUGGCGACCGGCGCACGGGUGAGUAACACGUAUCCAACCUGCCGAUAACUCCGGGAUAGCCUUUCGAAAGAAAGAUUAAUACCGGAUAGCAUACGAAUAUCGCAUGAUAUUUUUAUUAAAGAAUUUUGGUUAUCGAUGGGGAUGCGUUCCAUUAGUUUGUUGGCGGGGUAACGGCCCACCAAGACUACGAUGGAUAGGGGUUCUGAGAGGAAGGUCCCCCACAUUGGAACUGAGACACGGUCCAAAUCCUACGGGAGGCAGCAGUGAGGAAUAUUGGUCAAUGGGCGCGAGCCUGAACCAGCCAAGUAGCGUGAAGGAUGAAGGCUCUAUGGGUCGUAAACUUCUUUUAUAUGGGAAUAAAGUAUUCCACGUGUGGAAUUUUGUAUGUACCAUAUGAAUAAGGAUCGGCUAACUCCGUGCCAGCAGCCGCGGUAAUACGGAGGAUCCGAGCGUUAUCCGGAUUUAUUGGGUUUAAAGGGAGCGUAGGUGGAUUGUUAAGUCAGUUGUGAAAGUUUGCGGCUCAACCGUAAAAUUGCAGUUGAAACUGGGAGUCUUGAGUACAGUAGAGGUGGGCGGAAUUCGUGGUGUAGCGGUGAAAUGCUUAGAUAUCACGAAGAACUCCGAUUGCGAAGGCAGCUCACUAGACUGUCACUGACACUGAUGCUCGAAAGUGUGGGUAUCAAACAGGAUUAGAUACCCUGGUAGUCCACACAGUAAACGAUGAAUACUCGCUGUUUGCGAUAUACAGUAAGCGGCCAAGCGAAAGCAUUAAGUAUUCCACCUGGGGAGUACGCCGGCAACGGUGAAACUCAAAGGAAUUGACGGGGGCCCGCACAAGCGGAGGAACAUGUGGUUUAAUUCGAUGAUACGCGAGGAACCUUACCCGGGCUUAAAUUGCAACAGAAUAUAUUGGAAACAGUAUAGCCGUAAGGCUGUUGUGAAGGUGCUGCAUGGUUGUCGUCAGCUCGUGCCGUGAGGUGUCGGCUUAAGUGCCAUAACGAGCGCAACCCUUAUCUUUAGUUACUAACAGGUCAUGCUGAGGACUCUAGAGAGACUGCCGUCGUAAGAUGUGAGGAAGGNGG
RNAcentral lists this ribosomal RNA (1171 nucleotides) under uncultured Bacteroides sp. Its description in RNAcentral is "bacterial SSU rRNA". It matches the Rfam family "Bacterial small subunit ribosomal RNA", at positions 10 to 1176 of the family's 1533-position model. Lineage: Bacteria; Pseudomonadati; Bacteroidota; Bacteroidia; Bacteroidales; Bacteroidaceae. The record is from RNAcentral.